This 256-nucleotide long non-coding RNA is filed under the name Fukomys damarensis (Damara mole-rat). Its description in RNAcentral is "lncRNA (ENSFDAG00000029351.1)". Lineage: Eukaryota; Metazoa; Chordata; Mammalia; Rodentia; Bathyergidae. The record is from RNAcentral.
AGAACAAACCAUGAGUGCCCUCUACCCACGCCAGGAAGCUCGUGAAAUCGGCAUAAACAGGACAAAAGGGCAGCUGCGGAAACAUUUGGCUGUGCCGAGGGGUAGUGGGCUCCACAUGCUGGAAUCCUGCACAUGACCAGCUUGAGUUUGUAUCCACAGCUACAGGACAGAACUUUAUGGAAACAGUUUGCCAAGCCAUGUGGUGCUCUGCUCGCUUCUCUGUGCAUCAAUACCCUUUUAAUUACCUGAUCCGGAG